GACGAACGCUGGCGGCGUGCUUAAUACAUGCAAGUCGAGCGAGGUUACUGUUUUGGAUCCCUUCGGGGUGAAGAAGCUUUAACCUAGCGGCGGACGGGUGAGUAACGCGUGGGUAACCUACCCCAAAGUCCGGGAUAACAGCGGGAAACCGCUGCUAAUACCGGAUGCCUUUACCUUGGGGCAUCUUGAGGUAAAGAAAGGCAACGCUUUGGGAUGGGCCCGCGUCCCAUUAGCUAGUUGGUGAGGUAACGGCUCACCAAGGCGACGAUGGGUAGCCGGCCUGAGAGGGUGGACGGCCACACUGGGACUGAGACACGGCCCAGACUCCUACGGGAGGCAGCAGUAGGGAAUAUUGCGCAAUGGACGGAAGUCUGACGCAAGCGACGCCGCGUGAGCGAUGAAGGUCUUCGGAUCGUAAAGCUCUGUCCGUUGGGGAAGAAGGCGAAAGCUUGACGGUACCCAAGAAGAAACGCCCCGGACUAACUACGGUGCCAGCACGCCGACGGUAAAACCCUCGUCUCUA
Molecule: ribosomal RNA, 523 nt
Filed under: uncultured bacterium
Lineage: Bacteria
Description: bacterial SSU rRNA
Rfam family: Bacterial small subunit ribosomal RNA
Source: RNAcentral